This is a non-coding RNA of Paramuricea clavata, 615 nucleotides long. Lineage: Eukaryota; Metazoa; Cnidaria; Anthozoa; Malacalcyonacea; Plexauridae. The record is from the annotation of a GenBank genome assembly.
GUCCCACAUCAACGGUUGUAAAGACGGUCCGGUGUGCAUACACUCAUUCACACUGUUCGCUAAUGGAUUGGGUCUCGCACUUGCGUCAAAUACCAUUCCCACCUUCGAACUGCUAGACUGUUCUCGGACGAUGGACUUAUGAGGCAUGUAGAAAACACGAGGUCCUGUUGGCUGGGAAGGUGCUGGCUCAAUGAUCUCUUUCUCUAGCUGGUCUUUCACAAUCUACUCAUAAGCCUCUCGAAGCCUUUUAUCAUGACUCAGUUUCCGUUCUAUGGUCUUCAACCGUUUCUUGCUGGGUUCCUCGUUAUUGUUGACUAGCUCUGCUCCCGGUAUCCACGGUACGCUCACUUCAUAUCUCCCGUCGUUUCGCGUUGUGAUGCUUUCUUGAAACUCUCGAUAGACAUCAAGCUGGUCACCUUCGCCCCGAUCCUCGAUCCCUAGCACGUCUAGGGAGUAUAGGCCUCAUACUCGUUUGUUUCUCUGGUGAACAUACAUGUUCCAUCUGCAUACUCCUUGCCACCAUGCACAACCCAACCAAAGGUUGUGCCCUCUACGAUUGGGUCAUCUGGUUCACCUUUGAUAAUACUCUCCGUCUUUAUCUGGCAGUAGACUGCG